UCUAAAGGAGAGGCUACCAAAACACUAGGUACUAUGGUAUACACAAACCUCUACAGGAGAGGCUACCAAAACACUAGGUACUAUGGUAUACACAUACCUCUACAGGAGAGACUACCAAAACACUAGGUACUAUGGUAUACACAUACCUCUACAGGAGAGGCUACCAAAACACUAGGUACUAUGGUAUACACAUACCUCUACAGGAGAGACUACCAAAACACUAGGUACUAUGGUAUACACAUACCUCUACAGGAGAGGCUACCAAAACACUAGGUACUAUGGUAUACACCUACCUCUACAGGAGAGGCUACCAAAACACUAGGUACUAUGGUAUACACCUACCUCUACAGGAGAGGCUACCAAAACACUAGGUACUAUGGUAUACACAUACCUCUACAGGAGAGACUACCAAAACACUAGGUACUAUG
This is a long non-coding RNA of Oncorhynchus keta (chum salmon), 428 nucleotides long. RefSeq lists it as uncharacterized. The transcript is spliced from 3 exons. The record is from RefSeq and is a predicted model, not a curated record. NCBI's taxonomy places the organism in Eukaryota, Metazoa, Chordata, Actinopteri, Salmoniformes, Salmonidae.